GGGGGGCAAGGGGUUUAACUGUUAUGCUGUUAUGGGGAUAAUUUAAUUCUUUGUUAACUGUUUUUCUGAAAAUAUGUUUGCUGUUAGCUGUUAUUGUCUUAUUUCUUGUUAGCUGUUAUAGGACUAUUAUUUUUAUUGUUAUCUGUUAUUGUGAGAUUGUGUUUGCUGUUAACUGUUAUUAAAAACUGGAAUGUUAGCAUUUUGACAACCAAUCUUAAGUAGAAAUUGAAGAUAAUUGAACAUUGUGACUUGGAAGGAGAGUUGUCUCAUUGUCACUCAUAUCACAUCUUC
This 291-nucleotide long non-coding RNA is filed under the name Mytilus galloprovincialis (Mediterranean mussel). Lineage: Eukaryota; Metazoa; Mollusca; Bivalvia; Mytilida; Mytilidae. The record is from RNAcentral.